AACCUGGUAGCACAGUUGGUUAGUGCAUCUGCUAGUAGUACCUUCUCUUUUGAUUUUGAUUUUGUAAGCAGAAGAACCUAGUUCAAAUCCAGGUCAAGUCA
Non-coding RNA from Mycena capillaripes, 101 nucleotides. The record is from the annotation of a GenBank genome assembly. Lineage: Eukaryota; Fungi; Basidiomycota; Agaricomycetes; Agaricales; Mycenaceae.